RNAcentral lists this ribosomal RNA (373 nucleotides) under uncultured bacterium. RNAcentral's name for it is "bacterial SSU rRNA". It matches the Rfam family "Bacterial small subunit ribosomal RNA", at positions 527 to 898 of the family's 1533-position model. The record is from RNAcentral.
GGGGGGAGCAAGCGUUGUUCGGAAUCACUGGGCGUAAAGGGCGUGUAGGCGGUCAGGUAAGUGGGAUGUGAAAUGCCCCGGCUCACCCGGGGACCGGCAUCCCAAACUGCUUGGCUUGAGUAUGGGAGAGGAUGAGGGAAUUCCUGGUGUAGCGGUGAAAUGCGUAGAUAUCAGGAGGAACACCGGUGGCGAAGGCGCUCAUCUGGCCCAAUACUGACGCUGAGGCGCGAAAGCUAGGGGAGCAAACGGGAUUAGAUACCCCGGUAGUCCUAGCCGUAAACGGUGAUCACUAGGUGUUGGGGGCAUCGACCCCUCCAGUGCCGCAGCUAACGCAUUAAGUGAUCCGCCUGGGGAGUACGGCCGCAAGGUUGAA